UACGUAGGGUGCGAGCGUUAAUCGGAAUUACUGGGCGUAAAGGGCGCGUAGGCGGCAUGUACAGUCAGAAGUGAAAUUCCUGGGCUCAACCUGGGGACUGCUUUUGAUACGUGCAAGCUAGAGUGAGGAAGAGGGUUGUGGAAUUUCCAGUGUAGAGGUGAAAGUCGUAGAUAUUGGAAAGAACACCGGUGGCGAAGGCGGCAACCUGGUCCUUAACUGACGCUGAGGCGCGAAAGCGUGGGGAGCAAACAGG
RNAcentral lists this ribosomal RNA (253 nucleotides) under uncultured bacterium. RNAcentral describes it as "partial 16S ribosomal RNA". It matches the Rfam family "Bacterial small subunit ribosomal RNA", at positions 524 to 776 of the family's 1533-position model. The record is from RNAcentral.